This 164-nucleotide ribosomal RNA is filed under the name uncultured bacterium. RNAcentral describes it as "partial 16S ribosomal RNA". It matches the Rfam family "Bacterial small subunit ribosomal RNA", at positions 341 to 521 of the family's 1533-position model. The record is from RNAcentral.
ACGGGAGGCAGCAGUGGGGAAUAUUGCACAAUGGGGGAAACCCUGAUGCAGCGACGCCGCGUGAAGGAAGAAGUAUCUCGGUAUGUAAACUUCUAUCAUUCAGGGAAAAUAGUGACGGUACCUGACUAAGAAGCCCCGGCUAUACACGUGCCAGCAGCCGCGGU